GCGGGCGAAGAUCGCGCCGGUUCCCCGCAAGGGGAUUCAAAGGGAACGGGGUUCGAUACCCCGGCUGCCCCUGCAACUGUGAGCGGCGAGCGAGAUCCACCAGCGCGGGGCGCGUCGCCCCGCGCGGCCACUGGGCGACCGGGAAGGCGUGGAUCGAGCGACGACCCGCGAGCCAGGAGACCUGCCGGCGCGGGUCGCUCAAU
RNAcentral lists this non-coding RNA (203 nucleotides) under Sphingomonas sp. Lineage: Bacteria; Pseudomonadati; Pseudomonadota; Alphaproteobacteria; Sphingomonadales; Sphingomonadaceae. The record is from RNAcentral.